GAAACCAACAGGGAUUGCCUCAGUAACGGCGAGUGAAGCGGCAAAAGCUCAAAUUUGAAACCCUCGGGAUUGUAAUUUGAAGAUUUGGCAUUGGAGAAAGCUAACCCAAGUUGCUUGGAAUAGUACGUCAUAGAGGGUGACAACCCCGUCUGGCUAACCGUUCUCCAUGUAUUGCCUUAUCAAAGAGUCGAGUUGUUUGGGAAUGCAGCUCAAAGUGGGUGGUAAACUCCAUCUAAAGCUAAAUACUGGUGAGAGACCGAUAGCGAACAAGUACUGUGAAGGAAAGGUGAAAAGAACUUUGAAAAGAGAGUGAAAUAGUAUGUGAAAUUGUUGAUAGGGAAGGAAAUGAGUGGAGAGUGGCCGAGGUUUCAGCCGCCCCUCGUGGGCGGUGUACUGCCGACGCCGAGUCAUCGAUAGCGAGACGAGGGUUACAAAUGGGAGCGCCUUCGGGCGUUCUCCCCUAACCCUCCACACUGCCAC
This 480-nucleotide ribosomal RNA is filed under the name Yarrowia lipolytica. RNAcentral's name for it is "eukaryotic LSU rRNA". It matches the Rfam family "Eukaryotic large subunit ribosomal RNA", at positions 61 to 503 of the family's 3401-position model. Lineage: Eukaryota; Fungi; Ascomycota; Dipodascomycetes; Dipodascales. The record is from RNAcentral.